This 1723-nucleotide long non-coding RNA is filed under the name Cinara cedri. Lineage: Eukaryota; Metazoa; Arthropoda; Insecta; Hemiptera; Aphididae. The record is from RNAcentral.
AAUUUUUUUAACGUAUAGUUAUUGAUUAAAAUAUAAGAUGCUGGUUUUAUAAUUAUAUUUAUUUACAAAAAAAAAAUCAAAAUACGAUUAAAAAGCUAUCGAUUUAAUGUUAUAUGAAAAUAUUGAGGAAAAAUAAAGGUUAUCGUAUCAACCGUACUCGUAAACUAUCGAGAGGGGAAUGACCACGUAUUAUGGCCAUGUUAAGAGUAUUUUUCUAUUCAUACACGAUUUAUCCUAUAUCUGAAAUUUCCAGAAACUAAAACAAUAAAUGCUUUUACCAACAGUCAGUUUGAAUUGGAUGUUUUAAGAACAACAAGGAAUAAAAAAACUAGUGUUCAGACCGUUCUAAAAUGAUUGUACUUUCCCGCCUUAUACACUAUCUACGUUUUUGAGAUACUUUACAUCACUAAGUAAAUUAAUAAUAUCAUUUGAUGAAUACAACAAUAACUUACUAUGCAUGAAUAAUAAAAUGCUCGAAUAAAACAGAAACGAUUGGCCAUAUCAAGGAUACAGAUCUAUAUGUCCGAGUGGCCAUGGCAAGGAUACAGGGUGUUUAUGUUCGAGUGGCCACUCUAAUAAUAAUUUAUUGUAACCAGUGUUGGGAAAGAUAACCGAUAUUUUAAUAUCUAUAGAUACAAAGAUAACGACUUAAUAUUUACCUUAGAUCAAAAUAAACGAUACGGCUUGCAAUUAUUAUCCAGGAUAACAUGAAAUUAUAAUAAAUUAAGAUAAUUGAUAAAAAAAAAAAAAAAAAAAUUAUAUAUUUUUAAUAUUUAGGUGAUUCGUCGUGUACAAAACGAAAUAUUCAAAAUAAUUUUGGCAUAUAUAUUAUAAUAUAAUUGUAAUAGUAGUGAUUUACUGUAGAGUUAUUUCGAAAUCAAUUUGCAUAAUAUACUAUACAAAACCUAAUAUUAUUAUUAUGACGUGCAUUUCCGGGAUAUUGACUAGGUUACAGCAUGGUUAGAAGAAAAAAAUAAUACAAAUUUCCGACUAUAUUUAUGAAAAUAAAUCGGGUUUUAAAAGAUAUUUGAUCUAGAUUAUAUUUUUUUAAAUGGUUUCAUCUACAGACAAUCCCGACACUGAUUAUAAUUUUAAAUGACUCCGCGUCUAUGAUACCGAAUAAGAGCGAAAAUCUAUGGCUUUUAUUAUGCGCGCGACACCAACGAUAAAUGUAAAAACGGCCAUUCGAAUUUUUAUAAAUAUUUAAGUCGACGGAGGCAUUUGUGUUUUUUCCAAUAUUAUUAUAUUCUAUAGGUAGAGGCGUGUUUAUAAUAAUUUGACGUUUUUUUAAUAAUAAUUAUGUUAUACAUAUACACAUAUUUUAUAUUGUAAUUAAAUAUUUAUGGUUGGAUGUGUUUUUUAAAACAAAUUUGCAUUGGUUUUUUUUUUUUUUUUUACCACAAUAUUAGACAAUAACUGUACUGUAUGGAUAACAUAAUAUUAUAUUACGGUUUGUCGUGUUUGAUUAGAGGCACGUACGAAUAUAUUACAAUUUAUUAAAUAAAUAUAUUUUUCUUUUCUGAGCGACGUCACGAGAGAUGAACAAAGAUCGUCCCUAUACAGAGCAUAUCGAUCGUUAUAUUUGAAUUCCAUCCUUCCAACGACAAAAAAAAAAAAAAAAUCUGCCACUAAUACCUAUACACCCCCCACUAUUUGUGUUUGUUUCGUUUCGAACAAUAUUGUAUUUUUUACACACAUAUCAUUUGUUUUAUUUAAAUGGUCC